RNAcentral lists this ribosomal RNA (251 nucleotides) under uncultured bacterium. Its description in RNAcentral is "partial 16S ribosomal RNA". It matches the Rfam family "Bacterial small subunit ribosomal RNA", at positions 525 to 775 of the family's 1533-position model. The record is from RNAcentral.
ACGUAGGUGGCAAGCGUUAUCCGGAUUUACUGGGUGUAAAGGGCGUGUAGGCGGGAAGGCAAGUCAGAUGUGAAAACUAUGGGCUCAACCCAUAGCCUGCAUUUGAAACUGUUUUUCUUGAGUGCUGGAGAGGCAAUCGGAAUUCCGUGUGUAGCGGUGAAAUGCGUAGAUAUACGGAGGAACACCAGUGGCGAAGGCGGAUUGCUGGACAGUAACUGACGCUGAGGCGCGAAAGCGUGGGGAGCAAACAG